UAUGUUGGAAUAUUUUGUUUUAUUUAUGACACAAAAUAUGGAAAUAUUAUGUUGUGUAAAUUUGAAUACUUGAACAAAAACAUCACUCUGGUUUAUUUGGCCCUUGUCAACGGGAUAUAAUAGUUGACUAUUCGGCCCUAUCAACGGGAUAUAAUAGUUGACCUUUACAUUUCAUGGUGGGAAUGUAAUUGAUUUGGAC
Molecule: long non-coding RNA, 199 nt
Filed under: Vitis vinifera (wine grape)
Lineage: Eukaryota; Viridiplantae; Streptophyta; Magnoliopsida; Vitales; Vitaceae
Description: long non-coding RNA (VVIN_LNC000857)
Source: RNAcentral